Molecule: unclassified non-coding RNA, 343 nt
Filed under: soil metagenome
Description: partial contains 5.8S ribosomal RNA, internal transcribed spacer 2, and large subunit ribosomal RNA
Rfam family: 5.8S ribosomal RNA (bases 1-120)
Source: RNAcentral
GAUGAAGAACGUAGCGAAAUGCGAUAAGUAAUGUGAAUUGCAGAAUUCAGUGAAUCAUCGAAUCUUUGAACGCACAUUGCGCCCCUUGGUAUUCCGAGGGGCAUGCCUGUUCGAGCGUCAUUUCAACCCCUCAAGCUUCGGCUUGGUGUUGGGCCGCGCCGCUGCACCAGCAGCUGGCGGGCCUCAAAAUCAGUGGCGGUGCCGUCUCGGCUCUAAGCGUAGUAACAUCUCUCGCUCUGGAGACCUGGCGGUGGCUUGCCAGACAACCCCCAACUUUCUUUAAGGUUUGACCUCGGAUCAGGUAGGGAUACCCGCUGAACUUAAGCAUAUCAAUAGCGGAGGA